RNAcentral lists this ribosomal RNA (217 nucleotides) under uncultured bacterium. Its description in RNAcentral is "partial 16S ribosomal RNA". It matches the Rfam family "Bacterial small subunit ribosomal RNA", at positions 122 to 334 of the family's 1533-position model. The record is from RNAcentral.
UAACCUGCCUGGUAGCGGGGGGUAACUAUUGGAAACGAUAGCUAAUACCGCAUAAUAGCAGUUAUUGCAUGAUAAUUAUUGAAAAGGUGCAAUUGCACCACUACCAGAUGGACCUGCGUUGUAUUAGCUAGUAGGUGAGGUAACGGCUCACCUAGGCGACGAUACAUAGCCGACCUGAGAGGGUGAUCGGCCACACUGGGACUGAGACACGGCCCAG